GUACACGCUGUGACUAGCAUAUCAAUAAGCGGAGGAAAAGAAACUAACAAGGAUUCCCCUAGUAACGGCGAGUGAAGCGGGAAGAACUCAAAUUUGAAAUCUUAAAGGGUUUCCCUUUACGAAUUGUAGUUUAAAGAAGUGUUUUCUGUUGAGGUUUUGGUAAAAGUUCUUUGGAAUAGGACAUCAUAGAGGGUGAGAAUCCCGUAUUUGACCUUUACUUUCAACUUUGUGAUACACUUUCAAAGAGUCGGAUUGUUUGGGAAUGCAGUCCAAAAUGGGUGGUAAAUUUCAUCUAAAGCUAAAUAUUGGCGAGAGACCGAUAGCGAACAAGUACCGUGAGGGAAAGAUGAAAAGAACUUUGAAAAGAGAGUUAAACAGUACGUGAAAUUGUCAAAAGGGAAGCGUUUGACACCAGUGUUGUUUUUCUGAAAAUCAAUUAAAGAACUGUUUAUGCUAAGCUGUUUAGACUUUAUCAGCUAUCUGUUUAGUUUUGAGCUUUUCUUUAAUGCACUUUUCAGUUAACAAGUCAACAUCAAUUUCUUUUGCUGUAAAAAAGCUUGAGGAAGGUGGCUUGAGAUUCGUCUUAAGUGUUUAUAGCCUCUUGCCUAUGCAGUCGGAGAGAUUGAGGUCUGCAGCGUAGAUCCUUCGGGGCUAAAUGCAUUUGUGCUAAGUUAUAGCAUUUUAUAGACAACUUGUUGACUAUGAUUUGUCUUGUAGCUUACUCGCUUAUGUUAUUUUACCUACGCUUAGGAUGUUGAGUCGUAGAGCACGCAG
RNAcentral lists this ribosomal RNA (774 nucleotides) under uncultured Neocallimastigales. Its description in RNAcentral is "partial large subunit ribosomal RNA". It matches the Rfam family "Eukaryotic large subunit ribosomal RNA", at positions 22 to 628 of the family's 3401-position model. The record is from RNAcentral. Lineage: Eukaryota; Fungi; Neocallimastigomycota; Neocallimastigomycetes; Neocallimastigales.